Populus euphratica (Euphrates poplar) is the source of this 787-nucleotide RNA transcript. It is a transcript of the gene named EG45-like domain containing protein, with no coding region annotated. NCBI's taxonomy places the organism in Eukaryota, Viridiplantae, Streptophyta, Magnoliopsida, Malpighiales, Salicaceae. The transcript has 4 exons. The record is from RefSeq and is a predicted model, not a curated record.
ACUUUACAAUAUUGUGGCUACCCUUGUCAGCUGCAACCUACCGAGGAGAGAGAGAGCGAUAAAUUGGGCAACUGGCAUGAAGAGGGGAGCAAGUACUAAGCAAAGUUAAUAGUUUCGCUUCCUCAAUUAGCUCUUAUAACCAUGGUACUCAUAGCCAUAACAAUAAUAGUCGUCAGCUUACUCAGCAAUGAAAUAGGCUUUGUUCUUGGGGACAUUGGGACUGCUACUUCUUAUCAACCGCCAUAUUUACCUACUAAGUGUAAUGGGAAUAGACAAGAUCAAUUCCCACCAGGGAACUUGUUUGUUUCUGUGAGUGAAGGUUUGUGGGAUAAUGGUGCUGCUUGUGGGAGGCGUUACAGGUUGAGGUGCCUAAGUGGAAAUAAUAAGCCAUGCAAGGAUGGGACUAUUGACGUCAGGGUAGUGGAUUUCUGCAGAAAAUCACCAUGUCCUUCUACUAUUCUCUUGUCAAAUGAUGCCUUUUCUUCUGUAUCAUACUCUCCAUCCGCAAAAAUCAACGUUGAAUACAUCCAGAUAUGAUGGAACAAUUAAGAUAUAUAUAUAUGUUCCCGAACUGUAUCAAGCAAUCCGACAGAUAGAAGCUGUGAAGGGAAAAUGGCGUUUCUCUAAUCUUAGAAGUAGUAGCAGCUUUGUACUCCCAUUUCUGAUUGUUCCAUGUUUUAAUAUGAAUAUCUAUCUCAUAUAGAUAUCACAUAUAAUUAUACUAAUAACCAUUCACAAGCGAAGAUUAUAGAGCAAAUCAAUAGAUCGAAUUACGCACCCUUCCUCA